RNAcentral lists this transfer RNA (75 nucleotides) under Candidatus Goldiibacteriota bacterium HGW-Goldbacteria-1. RNAcentral describes it as "Candidatus Goldbacteria bacterium HGW-Goldbacteria-1 tRNA-Gln". It matches the Rfam family "tRNA". Rfam says of the family: Transfer RNA (tRNA) molecules are approximately 80 nucleotides in length. Their secondary structure includes four short double-helical elements and three loops (D, anti-codon, and T loops). Lineage: Bacteria; Candidatus Goldiibacteriota. The record is from RNAcentral.
UGGGCGGUAGCCAAAUGGUAAGGCACACGGUUUUGGUCCGUACAUUUGGUGGUUCGAGCCCACCCCGCCCAGCCA